GACGAACGCUGGCGGCGUGCCUAAUACAUGCAAGUCGAGCGAACACAAGAGGAGCUUGCUCCUCUUGGUUAGCGGCGGACGGGUGAGUAACACGUGGGCAACCUGCCUGUAAGACUGGGAUAACUUCGGGAAACCGGAGCUAAUACCGGAUAAUCCUUUUCCUCUCAUGAGGAAAAGCUGAAAGUCGGUUUUCGCUGACACUUACAGAUGGGCCCGCGGCGCAUUAGCAGUUGGUGAGGUAACGGCUCACCAAGGCAACGAUGCGUAGCCGACCUGAGAGGGUGAUCGGCCA
RNAcentral lists this ribosomal RNA (292 nucleotides) under uncultured bacterium. RNAcentral describes it as "partial 16S ribosomal RNA". It matches the Rfam family "Bacterial small subunit ribosomal RNA", at positions 28 to 310 of the family's 1533-position model. The record is from RNAcentral.